This 253-nucleotide unclassified non-coding RNA is filed under the name uncultured Elusimicrobia bacterium. RNAcentral describes it as "contains 16S-23S intergenic spacer region". It matches the Rfam family "Bacterial small subunit ribosomal RNA", at positions 524 to 776 of the family's 1533-position model. Lineage: Bacteria; Pseudomonadati; Elusimicrobiota; Elusimicrobia. The record is from RNAcentral.
GACGAAGGUGGCGAGCGUUACUCGGAAUUACUAGGCGUAAAGCGUGGGCAGGUGGUCCGAUAAGUCUGUUGUGAAAGCUCCCGGCUUAACCGGGAGAGGCCAAUGGAUACUGUCGGACUUGAAUGUGGGAGAGGUGACUGGAAUUCCCGGUGUAGCGGUGAAAUGCGUAGAGAUCGGGAGGAACACCAAUGGCGAAAGCAGGUCACUGGACCACUAUUGACACUCAUCCACGAAAGCUGGGGGAUCAAACAGG